Molecule: transfer RNA, 69 nt
Filed under: Priasilpha obscura
Lineage: Eukaryota; Metazoa; Arthropoda; Insecta; Coleoptera; Phloeostichidae
Description: tRNA-Asp
Rfam family: tRNA
About the family: Transfer RNA (tRNA) molecules are approximately 80 nucleotides in length. Their secondary structure includes four short double-helical elements and three loops (D, anti-codon, and T loops).
Source: RNAcentral
GAAAAUUUAGUUAAAUAUAUAACAUUAGUUUGUCAAACUAAAAUUAUUAACCCCAUUAGAUAAUUUUCU